AAUCGAUAACAACAAACAAUCGGAACUUCUAGCAAAUGAACAACACUAACAGCUGUAACAACAAGCAAAUGUAAACAACAAAGAUCGGGUCCCGGUUCCGGACCCAACGGACCCUACCUGAGACGAUCACCUGAUCUCGUCUCCCUCAUUUUGGCCACUAGAUGGCCUGCAUCAGCUCGUGUCGGCUGUUAUGCCUCCUCUCCCCUUCAAUUGACACAUAGCCGGA
This is a long non-coding RNA of Drosophila montana, 226 nucleotides long. RefSeq lists it as uncharacterized. The record is from RefSeq and is a predicted model, not a curated record. The transcript is spliced from 2 exons. NCBI's taxonomy places the organism in Eukaryota, Metazoa, Arthropoda, Insecta, Diptera, Drosophilidae.